CCUGUUCGAGCGUCAUUACACCACUCAAGCCUCGCUUGGUAUUGGAGGACGCGGUUCGCCGCGCCUCUUAAAUCUUCCGGCUGAGCUUACUGUCUCUUAGCGUUGUGGAAACUUUUCGCUUCUAAGACAGUGACGCUUGCGCCGUUAAACCAAUUUUACAGGUUGACCUCGGAUCAGGUAGGGAUACCCGCUGAACUUAA
RNAcentral lists this unclassified non-coding RNA (200 nucleotides) under soil metagenome. RNAcentral's name for it is "partial contains internal transcribed spacer 2 and large subunit ribosomal RNA". The record is from RNAcentral.